CUCCAGACUCCUACGGGAGGCAGCAGUGGGGAAUAUUGCACAAUGGGGGGAACCCUGAUGCAGCGACGCCGCGUGGGUGAAGGAGUAUUUCGGUAUGUAAAGCCCUAUCAGCAGGGAAGAACAAUGACGGUACCUGACUAAGAAGCACCGGCUAAAUACGUGCCAGCAGCCGCGGUAAUACGUAGGGGGCAAGCGUUAUCCGGAUUUACUGGGUGUAAAGGGGGCGCAGACGGCAGCGCAAGCCAGGAGUGAAAGCCCGGGGCCCAACCCCGGGACUGCUCUUGGAACUGCGCGGCUGGAGUGCAGGAGGGGCAGGCGGAAUUCCUGGUGUAGCGGUGAAAUGCGUAGAUAUCAGGAGGAACACCGGUGGCGAAGGCGGCCUGCUGGACUGCGACUGACGUUGAGGCCCGAAAGCGUGGGGAGCAAACAGGAUUAGAUACCCCGGUAAG
This 449-nucleotide ribosomal RNA is filed under the name uncultured bacterium. RNAcentral describes it as "partial 16S ribosomal RNA". It matches the Rfam family "Bacterial small subunit ribosomal RNA", at positions 329 to 793 of the family's 1533-position model. The record is from RNAcentral.